Molecule: ribosomal RNA, 466 nt
Filed under: uncultured bacterium
Lineage: Bacteria
Description: partial 16S ribosomal RNA
Rfam family: Bacterial small subunit ribosomal RNA
Source: RNAcentral
GAUGAACGCUGGCGGCGUGCUUAACACAUGCAAGUCGAACGGAAAGGCCUCUGCUUGCCGGGGUACUCGAGUGGCGAACGGGUGAGUAACACGUGGGUGAUCUGCCCUGCACUUCGGGAUAAGCCUGGGAAACUGGGUCUAAUACCGGAUAGGACAAUGGUUUGGAUGCUGUUGUGGAAAGUUUUUCGGUGUGGGAUGAGCUCGCGGCCUAUCAGCUUGUUGGUGGGGUAAUGGCCUACCAAGGCGUCGACGGGUAGCCGGCCUGAGAGGGUGUACGGCCACAUUGGGACGGGGAUACGGCCCGGACUCCAAGGGGGGGCGGCGGGGGGAAUAUUGCACAAUGGGCGCAAGCCUGAUGCAGCGACGCCGCGUGGGGGAUGACGGCCUUCGGGUUGUAAACUCCUUUCGCUAGGGACGAAGCGUUUUUGUGACGGUACCUGGAGAAGAAGCACCGGCUAACUACGUG